This 254-nucleotide ribosomal RNA is filed under the name uncultured bacterium. RNAcentral describes it as "partial 16S ribosomal RNA". It matches the Rfam family "Bacterial small subunit ribosomal RNA", at positions 524 to 776 of the family's 1533-position model. The record is from RNAcentral.
UACGGGGGGAGCAAGCGUUGUUCGGAUUUACUGGGCGUAAAGGGCGCGUAGGUGGCGCGAGUAGUCAACGGUGAAAGCCCGGGGCUCAACCCCGGGUCGGCCGUCGAUACUCUCGUGCUUGAGCACUGUAGAGGCAGGUGGAAUUCCGGGUGUAGCGGUGGAAUGCGUAGAGAUCCGGAAGAACACCGGUGGCGAAGGCGGCCUGCUGGGCAGUAGCUGACACUGAGGCGCGACAGCGUGGGGGAGCAAACAGG